Molecule: ribosomal RNA, 1621 nt
Filed under: Triticum aestivum (bread wheat)
Lineage: Eukaryota; Viridiplantae; Streptophyta; Magnoliopsida; Poales; Poaceae
Description: partial small subunit ribosomal RNA
Rfam family: MIR1120/MIR1122 microRNA precursor family (bases 654-740)
Source: RNAcentral
CUCCCGUUCACCCAUUUCCGAUAGUUUUAGAACUUCCGGUGCAUAUUGCUCUUUCCUGGAUCUAAAAACUCCCUAGUCCACCCAUUUGCCUACACACGUCCACACAUUUCACCUCGUCCCCAACCUCCUCCGGCGUCGUCAGAUCCGCCGGCGGGAGCCCCCUGCUACAGCGCCCCGACCCGGCUGCCCCUCCUCCUCGAAUCCUCCCCGCCGGGCCGCCCCUCCUCGACUCCUCCCCGCCCGGGCCGACCUCCAGUGCCGUGCAGCAGGACGCGCCCGGCAGCAGGACUCGACCGGCCGCCCGCCUGCCCGGCCCUCUCUUCCCUCCGCCCGGCAGCAGGAGGCACCCUCACGGCCGGCCCUCCCUUCUAUUUGCUGGUUACAACACUUCUGAAGUUAUUUCACUUGUUUACCAGAAAGAAAACAGAGUUAAACUGCUGAUUGUCAAGUUAAUGUUCAGUCAUGUUCCACCACUCAGUGGCGGAGCUUGAUGAAGAUUGUUCAGUCAUGCCCUUAUUUUGGAUGGGCCCUAGGCUGUCACACUCACCACCCUUACAGAGUUCUGAAGGGCUGAUGGGUUGAACUUUACCAUCACUAGCACUACCGGUAAGGUGCACAGGUUGGAUCUCAAGUUUUAGUUUUCUCUCUUUUUACUACUCCCUCCGUCCCAUAAUAUAAGAACGUUUUUUACACUAGUGUAGUGUUAAAAACGUUCUUAUAUUUUGGGACAGAGGGAGUAGUUCGGAAACUUUGCCUUCCUAAAUUGCAGGAAAGUCAUCAAUAUAAUGUAUCUACAAGGAAGGUGGUGCCUCCACUCAUCUUGUUGUCUCAUGCUGCUACAAGCUUGCCACCAUAAGACUUGUCAAGGUCCAAUGGGGACGUGCCACUCAAUACUAUGGAUGGGUCCUAGGCCGCCGCACCUUUUGCCAUGGCCCAGCCCAUGACAGGCAGCAGCAAAGGGUGCCUUUCCAGAGCAAGGUGGUUGAGAUGGGUGCCCAUGCGCCCAUCCAUCAGUCCCCUCAACAAUCUUCAUCAAGCUUGGGCGGCUGCACCAUUUGCCAUGGUGCAGCCCAUGACAGGCAGCAGCCAUAAAGGGCGCCUCUUCAGAGCAAGGUGCUUGAGAUGGGCGUCCAUGCGCCCAUCCAUCAUCACAACAGCUGCUGAGUACAUCCAUUCCAUCCAUGGUGUUUGCCCAUUCUUGGCAAAGGAAGAAGUGAUGCAACUCCAAUGGAGGUGGAGCAGCCCACAAUGUGCCCAUUCUUGGCAAAGGAAGAAGUGAUGCAACUCCAAUGGAGGUGGAGCAGCCCACAAUGUGCCCAUUGUUGGCAAAAGAAGGAAGAGAUGCAACUCCAAUGGAGGUGGAGGGGCCCACGAUGCUAUAUGUUGUAUAUUUUUUAUUUUUUAUUUAUUGAUGCCUGGUGGUGAUGUUUGGCCAUUCUUGGCAAAAGAACAAGAGAUGUAAUUAUUUAUACUCCAUUUAGAGGUAUAUAUAGAUGCUGCACGUGAACAGAGGCGGAGUUUGAGCAUAAUCCAAGACGGGGCCAUUAGCUGAAGGGAGGCAAAUUAAUAGGGAAGGAGGGGCUAAUCUCUAGUUUAAACACUAGUUAGGCCUAAAAUAGAG